CGCGGGGUGGAGCAGUUCGGUAGCUCGUCGGGCUCAUAACCCGAAGGUCACAGGUUCAAAUCCUGUCCCCGCCA
RNAcentral lists this transfer RNA (74 nucleotides) under Actinomycetota bacterium. RNAcentral's name for it is "tRNA-Met". It matches the Rfam family "tRNA". From Rfam's summary of the family: Transfer RNA (tRNA) molecules are approximately 80 nucleotides in length. Their secondary structure includes four short double-helical elements and three loops (D, anti-codon, and T loops). Lineage: Bacteria; Bacillati; Actinomycetota. The record is from RNAcentral.